Molecule: long non-coding RNA, 736 nt
Filed under: Amphimedon queenslandica
Lineage: Eukaryota; Metazoa; Porifera; Demospongiae; Haplosclerida; Niphatidae
Description: uncharacterized LOC109589504, transcript variant X4
Source: RNAcentral
ACUACUGACAUGUUUUGUUAAAGAAAAUCAUCUUAAUCUGACUCUUUAAGAGGAAUCUUGUUGGCUGUAUAUACUAGGGCUAAAUCACUGGAUGUUAUUAUUGAGCCAAGCAUUGAAACAGAGCCAGAAGACCUUUCUGCAAUAAUCAUGACACUAGUGAAGACGAUGAGAAAUCAGGCGGUGAAUGUAUUAGUGAUCAUGAUGAUGAAGAUAUUGUACUGAGAGACUUAUGAAUGAUAGUCACAAGUGUGAAUUUUUGAUGCGGAAGAUUAUUCUGGAAAUAUUAGUAUAGUAGGUGCUCCUUUAAUUCAUAUUAAUUUAUUAAUUUAGCAAGGCCACUAGUAUACAUUCUAUAGUUACCUUAUCUCACUAAGUUUCAAGACAAGAAUAUCUUAGGUUGUGAUGAACUGAAACUUUCUUGUUUAAAGCUCUUGUUAAGUUCACUUCAAAUAGCAUUGAAUUUUUUUGUGAACCUGCCUUCAUCAUGCUGGUUAAGGAAGUUAUGUUAUGGAACUAAGCUUUGUAGGACUAUGUGUGACAAGAUACCUUUGAAAGAUCUGCUUCACUACAUGGAACCCGAGAGUUCAUUAAUGUUGGAGAUUUUGGGAAAUUAAUUUCUCAGUAAUGUGUCUUAAGUUACAAAACAUAAAGUGUCUUACUUGUGGAACAUUGGUAGACUAUGAUGAAGAAAACAAUUAUAAUCUUUUUUUGGUUUUAAUAAUAAUUCCAAAUCAUU